CAGGGCCUGAAGCAUUCGGUAAAGCGUUUGUUGAAUGGAUGGAUAUGCUGUACGAUGAGCUCCAUCUAGGAAAUUCUGCGGAAUGUGAUUAAGAGAGAAGAAUAUCUGAGUGACAAGAGUGAUGGAAAACUUACACAAAUGGAUGCCAGAUUUGGGGGAACAAAAUGGAGCCAUGGAGGGUGCCAUUUCUUUAUGGAAGGAAGAGGACUGGUCUUAUAAGAUAACAUAACCAUGUGGUUCAUCCUUCUGAGGAGCAGAGAUCUUUCUGCAUUUGUCAAAGCUUUUGGAGCAAAGAGGAGGGGACAGCAGUCCAGGGUGGUGAUGUGAUGAGGUUAAGGUUGUGUAUCACCAACCAGGGAGCCAAGAUGAUGGCCCAUAGUUGCUGAUUCACCCAACAGGAAGAAGAGCAAAUGGAGUUUACUGGUACAUCAGUACAUGGAAGAAAAAAGAAACAGGAAGACAGCUUCCAGAAGAAAUAUUAUGAUAGGACAUUUAUUAAAUAAACGUUUUUUCCUCUGGUGAUAUGGUGACCUCAGUGAGCACAGCGUCGCGUCUAGAGUCCCACAGGCCUCCCACGCGGUAGGCGCUCAGCAGAUGGUACCUUAGAGGAGACCACUGAACUAUUCGUAAAAUGAAGAGAAAGCAUGUAUGCUCCUCUCCCUGUCUGUGCACGCCCUCUCUGCAGCUGCCUCCCUGCUGGGUCCCCACUGGGUCGCUGUGCACAUCUGAAGAUGUGAGCUGUGUGACCCAAGCCAUUCUCCAAGACUCUUCAGUUUCUUCAGAGCGGUGGAAACCACGCUCCCAACGGUGCCCUCCGGGGAUUCUUUCUCAGUCCUACGGUACACGUUAGAGUGUCAGUGCUGCACACUCAGAAUUCUUUCGCCAUCCUGCUGUGAGAGCUCACUCCUUUCAAGUUACAGAGACAUUAAUCUAUUACUGUCUAGACUUGGCAAAUGUUGGGAAACAGACUUGUAAAUCAACUCGGUAUUCAUGGAGAUUUAAUUGCUUUCUAAUACCACGAACACUCAAUAAACAGCCAAUGAAAAAUUAAAAGGUAUCUUCGCAG
Molecule: long non-coding RNA, 1066 nt
Organism: Heterocephalus glaber (naked mole-rat)
Lineage: Eukaryota; Metazoa; Chordata; Mammalia; Rodentia; Bathyergidae
Source: Ensembl